UGAAGACACCUGGUGCCACACUCUAAUCAGCUAAUUAACUCAAAACACCUGCAAAGGCCUUUAAAUGGUCUCUCAGUCUAGUUCUGUAGGCUACACAAUCAUGGGGAAGACUGCUGACUUGACAGUUGUCCAAAAGACGACCAUUGACACCUUGCACAAGGAGGGCAAGACACAAAAGGUCAUUGCAAAAGAGGCUGGCUGUUCACAGAGCUCUGUGUCCAAGCACAUUAAUAGAGAGGCGAAGGGAAGGAAAAGAUGUGGUAGAAAAAAAAGUGUACAAGCAAUAGGGAUAACCGCACCCUGGAGAGGAUUGUGAAACAAAACCCAUUCAAAAAUGUGGGGGAGAUUCACAAAGAGUGGACUGCAGCUGGAGUCAGUGCUUCAAGAACCACUACGCACAGACGUAUGCAAGACAUGAGUUUCAGCUGUCGCAUUCCUUGUGUCAAGCCACUCUUGAACAACAGACAGUGUCAGAAGCGUCUCGCCUGGGCUAAAGACAAAAAGGACUGGACUGCUGCUGAGUGGUUAUGUUCUCUGAUGAAAGUAAAUUUUGCAUUUCCUUUGGAAAUCAGGGUCCCAGAGUCUGGAGGAAGAGAGGAGAGGCACACAAUCCACGUUGCUUGAGGUCCAGUGUAAAGUUUCCACAGUCAGUGAUGGUUUGGGGUGCCAUGUCAUCUGCUGGUGUUGGUCCACUGUGUUUUCUGAGGUCCAAGGUCAACGCAGCCGUAUACCAGGAAGUUUUAGAACACUUUAUGCUUCCUGCUGCUGACCAACUUUAUGGAGAUGCAGAUUUCAUUUUCCAACAGGACUUGGCACCUGCGCACACAGUGCCAAAGCUACCAGUACCUGGUUUAAGGACCAUGGUAUCCCUGUUCUUAAUUGGCCAGCAAACUCGCCUGACCUUAACCCCAUAGAAAAUCUAUGGGGUAUUGUGAAGAGAAAGAUGUGAUAUGCCAGACCCAACAAUGCAGAAGAGCUGAAGGCCACUAUCAGAGCAACCUGGGCUUAUGUAACACCUGAGCAGUGCCACAGAUUGAUCGACUCCAUGCCACGCCGCAUUGCUGCAGUAAUUCAGGCAAAAGGAGCCCCAACUAAGUAUUGAGUGCUGUACAUGUUCAUACUUUUCAGUUGGCCAAAAUUUCUAAAAAUCCUUUUUGUAUUGGUCUUAAGUAAUAUUCUAAUUUUCUGAGAUACUGAAUUUGGGAUUUUCCUUAGCUGUCAGUUAUCAUCAAAAUUAAAAUAAAUAAAUAUUUGAAAUAUAUCAGUCUGUGUGUAAUGAAUCAAUAUAAUAUACAAGUUUCACUUUUUUGAUGAUAUUCUAAUUAUAUGACCAGCACCUGUAUAAAUCUCAGCUGCUUGAUAGUUUAUAUCAUUGCUGUAUGUAAACUACCCUGUCGCCCAGCUCUAAACUAACAAAUUUGUUCAACUAAGCAUUAAUGUAUCUGUAAAGCUGCUUUUAAACAAUGUAUAUUAUAAAAAGCACAGAAUUUAAGGAAAUCAAGGUCUUAUCAAUUACCUUCCAGCAUUCAUGGUAUCAUCAAGGCCACUUACAUAGUUUAUUAAAAACAAUUCUUGUGAACCGUAAGAUUUUUUUUAAGAUCAAUAGAAAUUAUACCAAUUAUGAUGGUCAACAGUAUGUUGUAUAUCACACAGUAAUAUAUAACUUUGACUUAAGAAAGGGACAAUCAAUUCUGUUCCUCGAAAUUGACAUCACUGCAGUUCAGCUCCAACCCUCAUCAAACGCACCAGAACCAGAUAACAUUUUCAGAAAUACUUGGGCUGCAUCCAAAAUCGCAUACUCUCUUGAAUAGGUACUUAUUUUGAAUAAGUAAUUUCUUUAUGACUGCUGAGAAAGUAUGUGCUAUAUAGUAUGAGCGUGUGUAAUAUUAAUGUACUGUUUUUUCACUUACUAUUAGGUAGGGAAGUAUGCAAUUUCAGAUGCAGCCUUGGUAAAUACCAAUUGGUGAGUUGGAGCAGGUUUGGCACUGAACUCAGGAGGAAGGUAGUUCUGUAGGAACAGAUUUAGGCACACUUGUUUCCUUCAGGAAAUCCUUUAAGUCAAAUGUAUGAACUUAUAAAUAGUAUUUUACUUCACACAACUCAACAUGUCUGACAAUUCCAUUUUUAUUCAAAGUGUCUGAUUAUAAAGAAAGUACAUGUGGGUUUUAUGAGCUACACAAACAAAAUUUUUCAGGGAAGUCAUUUAUCAACACAUGGAGCUCAACUAAUCAAACACUCAAACUUCAGUUUUAUCAAAUGAAAGCUACUCAUCAAAGCAUUCUACAGGGAUCAUUUCACAUGAUAUGAGUCUUUUAACAGUCACUUUCAAAAAGCAGCUAUUUAGACACUGAUGUAUAAAGUUAACUACAUGUGGAAAAAAUAAUUCAAACAAAAUCUAAAAAUCAUAUUUUCACAAAAUUAUGGCAAAGAGCUUUUGUACAGGUUAAAGGUACAUUACAAAAAUUUAACACUAAUCUUUGUUUCUGAAACUUUUUAAAAAGGACUAAUGCACAGAA
Ctenopharyngodon idella (grass carp) is the source of this 2516-nucleotide long non-coding RNA. RefSeq lists it as uncharacterized. The transcript is spliced from 2 exons. The record is from RefSeq and is a predicted model, not a curated record. NCBI's taxonomy places the organism in Eukaryota, Metazoa, Chordata, Actinopteri, Cypriniformes, Xenocyprididae.